Molecule: ribosomal RNA, 636 nt
Filed under: uncultured bacterium
Lineage: Bacteria
Description: bacterial SSU rRNA
Rfam family: Bacterial small subunit ribosomal RNA
Source: RNAcentral
GUUUGAUCAUGGCUCAGGAUGAACGCUAGCUACAGGCUUAACACAUGCAAGUCGAGGGGCAGCAUCAUCAAAGCUUGCUUUGAUGGAUGGCGACCGGCGCACGGGUGAGUAACGCGUAUCCAACCUGCCGACAACACUGGGAUAGCCUUUCGAAAGAAAGAUUAAUACCGGAUGGCAUAGUUUUCCCGCAUGGGAUAAUUAUUAAAGAAUUUCGGUUGUCGAUGGGGAUGCGUUCCAUUAGGCAGUUGGCGGGGUAACGGCCCACCAAACCUACGAUGGAUAGGGGUUCUGAGAGGAAGGUCCCCCACAUUGGAACUGAGACACGGUCCAAACUCCUACGGGAGGCAGCAGUGAGGAAUAUUGGUCAAUGGACGAGAGUCUGAACCAGCCAAGUAGCGUGAAGGAUGACUGCCCUAUGGGUUGUAAACUUCUUUUAUACGGGAAUAAAGUUAGCCACGUGUGGUUUUUUGUAUGUACCGUAUGAAUAAGGAUCGGCUAACUCCGUGCCAGCAGCCGCGGUAAUACGGAGGAUCCGAGCGUUAUCCGGAUUUAUUGGGUUUAAAGGGAGCGUAGGCGGGUUGUUAAGUACAGUUGUGAAAGUUUGCGGCUCAACCGUAAAAUUGCAGUUGAUACUGG